UUUGAUUAUGGCUCAGGACGAACGCUGGCGGCGUGCCUAAUACAUUGCAAGUCGAGCGAAGUUUUUCUGGUGCUUGCACUAGAAAAACUUAGCGGCGAACGGGUGAGUAACACGUAAAGAACCUGCCUCAUAGACUGGGACAACUAUUGGAAACGAUAGCUAAUACCGGAUAACAGCAUUAACUGCAUGGUUGAUGUUUAAAAGUUUGGUUUUGCUAACCCUAUGAGAUGGCUUUUGCGGUGCAUUAGCUAGUUGGUGGGGUAAAGGCCUACCAAGGCGACGAUGCAUAGCCGACCUGAGAGGGUGAUCGGCCACACUGGGACUGAGACACGGCCCACACUCCUACGGGAGGCAGCAGUAGGGAAUCUUCCGCAAUGGGCGAAAGCCUGACGGAGCAACGCCGCGUGAGUGAAGAAGGAUUUCGGUUCGUAAAGCUCUGUUGUUAGGGAAGAAUGAUUGUGUAGUAACUAUACACAGUACAGACGGUACCUAACCAGAAAGCCACGGCUAACUACCUGCCAGCAGCCGCGGUAAUACGUAGGUGGCAAGCGUUGUCCGGAAUUAUUGGGCGUAAAGCGCGCGCAGGUGGUUUAAUAAGUCUGAUGUGAAAGCCCACGGCUCAACCGUGGAGGGUCAUUGGAAACUGUUAAACUUGAGUGCAGGAGAGAAGAGUGGAAUUCCUAGUGUAGCGGUGAAAUGCGUAGAGAUUAGGAGGAACACCAGUGGCGAAGGCGGCUUUUUGGCCUGUAACUGACACUGAGGCGCGAAAGCGUGGGGAGCAAACAGGAUUAGAUACCCUGGUAGUCCACGCCGUAAACGAUGAGUGCUAAGUGUUGGUCUCAUAAGAGAAUCAGUGCUGCAGCUAACGCAUUAAGCACUCCGCCUGGGAGUACGACCGCAAGGUUGAAAACUCAAAGGAAUUGACGGGGACCCGCACAAGCGGUGGAGCAUGUGGUUUAAUUUGAAGCAAUGCGAAGAACCUUACCAAGUCUUGACAUACUGUGAGGACACAAGAGAUUGUGUUGUUGUGACCUUUGGUUAGACACAGAUACAGGUGGUGCAUGGUUGUCGUCAGCUCGUGUCGUGAGAUGUUGGGUUAAGUCCCGCAACGAGCGCAACCCUUAUAUGUAGUUGCCAGCAGUAAGAUGGGGACUCUAGAUAGACUGCCAGUGAUAUAAAUGGAGGAAGGUGGGGAUGACGUCAAAAUCAUCAUGCCCCUUAUGACUUGGGCUACAACAACGUGCUACAAUGGAUAGGAACAAAGAGAUAGCGAGCUCGCGAGAGUAAGCAAAACCUCAACAAAACUAUUCUCAGUUCGGAUUGUAUUCUGCGAACUGAACUACAGAAGGCUGGAAUCGCUAGUAUUCGCGAUUCAGAAAUGUGGCGGUGA
RNAcentral lists this ribosomal RNA (1390 nucleotides) under uncultured bacterium. RNAcentral describes it as "16S ribosomal RNA". It matches the Rfam family "Bacterial small subunit ribosomal RNA", at positions 12 to 1365 of the family's 1533-position model. The record is from RNAcentral.